CCUACGGGAGGCAGCAGUGAGGAAUAUUGGUCAAUGGGCGUAAGCCUGAACCAGCCAAGUCGCGUGAGGGAUGAAGGUUCUAUGGAUCGUAAACCUCUUUUAUAAGGGAAUAAAGUGUGGGACGUGUCCUAUUUUGUAUGUACCUUAUGAAUAAGCAUCGGCUAACUCCGUGCCAGCAGCCGCGGUAAUACGGAGGAUCCGAGCGUUAUCCGGAUUUAUUGGGUUUAAAGGGUGCGUAGGCGGGCUUUUAAGUUAGCGGUGAAAGUGUGUGGCUUAACCAUAGAAUUGCAAUUGAUACUGGGAGACUUGAGUAUAGUUGAGGCAGGCGGAAUGAGUGGUGUAGCGGUGAAAUGCUUAGAUAUCACGCAGAACCCCGAUUGCGAAGGCAGCCUACCAGACCGUGACUGACGCUGAUGCACGAGAGCGUGGGGAUCAAACAGGAUUAGAUACCCUGGUAGUC
This 460-nucleotide ribosomal RNA is filed under the name uncultured bacterium. RNAcentral's name for it is "partial 16S ribosomal RNA". It matches the Rfam family "Bacterial small subunit ribosomal RNA", at positions 338 to 795 of the family's 1533-position model. The record is from RNAcentral.